UUUCCGUAGGUGAACCUGCGGUAGGAUCAUUGUCGAAACCUGCCCAGCAGAAAGACCCGCGAAC
Molecule: ribosomal RNA, 64 nt
Filed under: Ficus subcuneata
Lineage: Eukaryota; Viridiplantae; Streptophyta; Magnoliopsida; Rosales; Moraceae
Description: partial 18S ribosomal RNA
Source: RNAcentral